Eriocheir sinensis (Chinese mitten crab) is the source of this 1427-nucleotide long non-coding RNA. RefSeq lists it as uncharacterized. NCBI's taxonomy places the organism in Eukaryota, Metazoa, Arthropoda, Malacostraca, Decapoda, Varunidae. The transcript is spliced from 3 exons. The record is from RefSeq and is a predicted model, not a curated record.
UGUGUAUUUACCUUGUUGUAUAUACCUCGUUGUGAAAUACUGGAAAAGAGAUGUACUAGGUUCGUGCUGUCCUGUCUCCAUAACGCUUAGUAGGCCUAUGUGUGUGUGUGUGUGUGUGUGUGUUUAAGGUUAGAUUAGGUUAGGCAAAGUUAGGUUAGGCAAGGUUAGAUUAGGUUAGGCAAGGUUAGAUUAGGUGAGGUAAGGUUAGAUUAGGUGAGGUAAGGUUAGUUUAGGUUAGGCAUGGUUAAUCAACCUUCCAGCAGCUAGUCGUAAUGUGUUAAAAAGCUUUGUGAGACUGUACAGGGCAACGCUUACUGGUCUGAACAUGCGUUGUUCAUGAGAGACUAGUGUUUGUAAACUAAAGCGCCAGGUUUUGACGAUGGGACACCAAAUAACACAACACCGAGUGCCUUCAAUACCAUGGCAUGCUCGCAAACGAAUGUGGAAUAUCAAAUUUGAGGCAGUGAAUAAUCAUUUUUUGGGCAAAGUUAAAUGAUUUAUCUCUUUGAUAUAUUGAUUUUUUGAGUCUAACAUAAAAAAAUAACCUAGUGUUUUAAUGUUGAUGAUCUAAGUAUGAAAUCUCUUCACCGAAGAUAUUUCAUACCCCGAAUUUUUUUCAUACAACACCGGGCGCCCCGUGUAGGGAGAUGUUUUUUUCUGAGAGGCGGAAAAAAGUAGCGAUUAUUCCUAGUUUGGUUACAAAAGUAACGAAGAUACUGAUAUAUAUUUAAUUAAGUAGCGGAUGGCCGAUAACCCAAUUUUAUUAUCAGCAAUAAAGUAUCGCGAUAACUUACCACGAUAACGCCCAGCUAUGAGAUUAUGUUAGGUAAGGUUAGAUUAGGUUAGGGAAGGUUAGGUAAGGUUAGAUUAGGUUAGGGAAGGUUAGGUAAGGUUAGAUUAGGUUAGGGAAGGUUAGGUAAGGUUAGAUUAGGUUAGGGAAGGUUAGGUAAGGUUAGAUUAGGUUAGGGAAGGUUAGGUAAGGUUAGAUUAGGUUAGGGAAGGUUAGGUAAGGUUAGAUUAGGUUAGGGAAGGUUAGGUAAGGUUAGAUUAGGUUAGGGAAGGUUAGGUAAGGUUAGAUUAGGUUAGGGAAGGUUAGGUAAGGUUAGAUUAGGUUAGGGAAGGUUAGAUUAGGUUAGGGAAGGUUAGGUAAGGUUAGAUUAGGUUAGGGAAGGUUAGGUAAGGUUAGAUUAGGUUAGGGAAGGUUAGAUUAGGUUAGGGAAGGUUAGGUAAGGUUAGAUUAGGUGAGGUAAGGAAAACCGAGGUUUGACUGUAUUUUUAUUUUAUUUUAUUUUCUCUUUUUUUGUGUGUUUCUCUCUCUCUCUCUCUCUCUCUCUCUCUCUCUCUCUCUCUCUCUCUCUCUCUCUCUCUCUCUCUGUAAUUACCUUUCUGUCUACCUAUUUCUGGUUUUAUUUUAUUUUAUCUUUCUC